GAUGAACGCUGGCGGCGUGCCUAAUACAUGCAAGUCGAGCGAACAGACGAGGAGCUUGCUCCUCUGACGUUAGCGGCGGACGGGUGAGUAACACGUGGAUAACCUACCUAUAAGACUGGGAUAACUUCGGGAAACCGGAGCUAAUACCGGAUAAUAUAUUGAACCGCAUGGUUCAAUAGUGAAAGACGGUUUUGCUUUCACUUAUAGAUUGAUCCGCGCCGCAUUAGCUAGUUGGUAAGGUAACGGCUUACCAAGGCGACGAUGCGUAGCCGACCUGAGAGGGUGAUCGGCCACACUGGAACUGAGACACGGUCCAGACUCCUACGGGAGGCAGCAGUAGGGAAUCUUCCGCAAUGGGCGAAAGCCUGACGGAGCAACGCCGCGUGAGUGAUGAAGGUCUUCGGAUCGUAAAACUCUGUUAUUAGGGAAGAACAAAUGUGUAAGUAACUAUGCACGUCUUGACGGUACCUAAUCAGAAAGCCACGGCUAACUACGUG
This 497-nucleotide ribosomal RNA is filed under the name uncultured bacterium. RNAcentral describes it as "partial 16S ribosomal RNA". It matches the Rfam family "Bacterial small subunit ribosomal RNA", at positions 28 to 507 of the family's 1533-position model. The record is from RNAcentral.